Stygiomarasmius scandens is the source of this 81-nucleotide non-coding RNA. The record is from the annotation of a GenBank genome assembly. Lineage: Eukaryota; Fungi; Basidiomycota; Agaricomycetes; Agaricales; Campanellaceae.
UCCCUCUUAGCUCAGUUGGUAGAGCGCGUCACUAGUAUUCGAGCUAUGACGAGGUCAGUCGUUCAAGUCGGCUAGAGGGAA